UGCUUAGUAUAUUAACGGCGAACGGCUCAGUAAUGUUGCGAUGAUUUAGUCUUUUUAAAAGAAAAUAACCACGGUAAGCUGUGGCUAAUAAUAAAGAAUAAGUCGCAACCCUAUCAGUUAGUUGGUAGUGUAAAGGACUACCAAGACAAUGACGGGUGACGGGAAAUUAGGGUUUUAUUCCGGAGAGGGAGCCUGAGAGAU
This 201-nucleotide ribosomal RNA is filed under the name Microsporidium sp. IVB. RNAcentral describes it as "partial small subunit ribosomal RNA". It matches the Rfam family "Microsporidia small subunit ribosomal RNA", at positions 61 to 263 of the family's 1311-position model. Lineage: Eukaryota; Fungi; Microsporidia. The record is from RNAcentral.